Long non-coding RNA from Lycium ferocissimum, 1734 nucleotides. RefSeq lists it as uncharacterized. The transcript is spliced from 2 exons. Lineage: Eukaryota; Viridiplantae; Streptophyta; Magnoliopsida; Solanales; Solanaceae. The record is from RefSeq and is a predicted model, not a curated record.
AGUAUGACAGGUAUAGUUCUAGCACUGAAAUUUUGAGAGGACAACCUAUUUGCUAAUAUUAAUCGAAAGCAUGAUUCAAUACGGCAAAACUCUAUUAUGAUUUCCAGAUUUUCCAUUGACAGAAAAUAGAACGAUAAAUGCGACAUUGGCAUUUCUUUUUCAACUUACUAUUUCUAUCAGUAAUAAGUUGUAACCAGUGAAUUAAUAUUUGUACUUUGUAUUUUUAGAAUACAAAUGGCAACCGCAGAGUAACGGGCUAUUAGGAGAAAAAUUCCCAAAAUCCACUAACCAAAAAUAUCUAACUCUCCUUCCAACUCAAAUCUUUUGUAGCUCUGUAAUUUGCCUGUUUCUCCCAAAACAACUAUGCAAUUCCAACAACAACUAGUCACAAACAACAAUAAAUCACCGGCACAUCACCGGUCCGGUGACCGGCAAAUCAAUCACCACCACCAAUCACCACAUUUAUAUCUAUGAGAAACUCUCCCUUCUUUGUUUCUAAUGUCUCAUCAGCAUCUUUUUCAGCUUCUUCAAUAUUGUCAACACCUGCACAUUUUAAUUCCACAUUUCCGUUAACAGAUCCGUCCACAAAUUCAACUUUCAUUUUUUCCUUCUACUCCUGUUGCUGACGGUACCUUUGACUUCGUUACAUUUUGUUUUAUUUCCGGUCUUACCCUUCUUUCUCUUCUUUCUUUCGUUUUCAUCUUUCAUCUACGCCUUAGAUCUCGUCAAUUCCCUCAUCUCAAAAACUUCAACUCUCUCUGGACCGUCCGAUUACUCCUUAUAUUCUUCGCUUUUCUUUGGCCUUUGAACGAAGUUUUCCGGUUACAUUUCAUUCGCCGGAAAUACAUUUUUCCAUUUUUACCCUCCUUAACCCUAAAUCAACAACACAAUCUCUGUAAAGUCCACGUGGUUCUUUCCUUGGGCUUAUUUGAACCGGGUUUCUUAAUCACUCUUCUUUUCUUAGUAAACGUGUCCAUUAAAAAACAAAGCCCAAGUGGGAUUUGGGCUGCUAUAAUAGUCUGGCCCAUUUGUUUACCUCUUUUAGUGCUUCAAAUUCUCUCAGUGUUCUUCUCUCCAUUACAAGAACAUAUACCGAAAUACAUGCAUUCGAGUUCGUUCAUUUCCACUGAUUUAUUAGGGAACAAAACAGUGCUUUGUACUUACCCUUUAUACAGUGCUAUUUUAUUUGGAGGAUUUGUGGUUGCUUAUUUGUCAGCCUUCUUGUUUUCGUGUUGGAGGGUUAUAUCCUUUGUUAUUAACAGGAAAAUUCAGAUCCUAUACAUGGUGUUGCUGUGUUGGUGAUGUUCUUAGCUGUUGCAUGGUGUGUAGCAGUUGGUGAGGUUACUUUGGUAAUUAAACCUAUUGCUGAUGCAUUUGCUGCUGGUAGAGCAUGUAGUUGACAUUGGAAUCACGGAGUUAUGUAAGGAGAAAGGGUGGAAGGACAUCAUGGUCAUUUUAUGUCUAAUUAAUAGGGGGCGUUAUAGGCUUAUAGUUUAUAGUUAUGGCUCAUUAGUAUAUAUUUGAGCUUGAUUGAUAGUCAGUAGUUUAAUAUUGCCCUCUUUGUCUAAUUACUAGAAAUUGCUUAGUAAUUAAUUGCAGCAUAUAAUUAGCAGUUGUUCAUAGUUUCAGGAUUUUCUGGGAAGAAAAAUCAUCAGAUAUAUACGGCCUAGGAAAUAUCCACUCUCUUUCUUUUCCCUAUUGCAGAGAAUGUUUCCGUGCUCAUAUUUAAAUUAA